Hysterangium stoloniferum is the source of this 83-nucleotide non-coding RNA. The record is from the annotation of a GenBank genome assembly. Lineage: Eukaryota; Fungi; Basidiomycota; Agaricomycetes; Hysterangiales; Hysterangiaceae.
GCCCUCUUAGCUCAGUGGUAGUAGCGCGUCACUAGUAAGCGUAUGUUAUGACGAGGUCGGUCGUUCAAAUCGGCCAGGGGGCA